RNAcentral lists this ribosomal RNA (171 nucleotides) under Cylindrocarpon sp. CCF3803. Its description in RNAcentral is "5.8S ribosomal RNA". The stretch from base 1 to 145 matches the Rfam family "5.8S ribosomal RNA". Rfam says of the family: 5.8S ribosomal RNA (5.8S rRNA) is a component of the large subunit of the eukaryotic ribosome. It is transcribed by RNA polymerase I as part of the 45S precursor that also contains 18S and 28S rRNA. Lineage: Eukaryota; Fungi; Ascomycota; Sordariomycetes; Hypocreales; Nectriaceae. The record is from RNAcentral.
CAACGGAUCUCUUGGUUCUGGCAUCGAUGAAGAACGCAGCGAAAUGCGAUAAGUAAUGUGAAUUGCAGAAUUCAGUGAAUCAUCGAAUCUUUGAACGCACAUUGCGCCCGCCGGUAUUCCGGCGGGCAUGCCUGUUCGAGCGUCAUUUCACCACUCAAGCCCAGCUUGGUG